UUGUUCUCAUUUUGGUAGCAAAUCUACUAAAACUGAAGCAAUAUGAGAUUAACAUGGUCCUUGUUCAAAGAUGACAUGCAAAUUCUGGAAGCAUUCCAUAUUUAU
RNAcentral lists this small nuclear RNA (105 nucleotides) under Mus spretus (western wild mouse). Lineage: Eukaryota; Metazoa; Chordata; Mammalia; Rodentia; Muridae. The record is from RNAcentral.